AGAGUUUGAUCCUGGCUCAGAUUGAACGCUGGCGGCAUGCCUUACACAUGCAAGUCGAACGGCAGCACGGGAGCAAUCCUGGUGGCGAGUGGCGAACGGGUGAGUAAUGUAUCGGAACGUACCUUUCAGUGGGGGAUAACGUAGCGAAAGUUACGCUAAUACCGCAUAUUCUGUGAGCAGGAAAGCAGGGGAUCGCAAGACCUUGCGCUGAUUGAGCGGCCGAUAUCAGAUUAGCUAGUUGGUGAGGUAAAGGCUCACCAAGGCGACGAUCUGUAGCGGGUCUGAGAGGAUGAUCCGCCACACUGGAACUGAGACACGGUCCAGACUCCUACGGGAGGCAGCAGUGGGGAAUUUUGGACAAUGGGCGCAAGCCUGAUCCAGCCAUGCCGCGUGAGUGAAGAAGGCCUUCGGGUUGUAAAGCUCUUUCAGCCGGGAAGAAAGCGCAUGGGUUAAUACCCUGUGUGGAUGACGGUACCGGAAUAAGAAGCACCGGCUAACUACGUGCCAGCAGCCGCGGUAAUACGUAGGGUGCGAGCGUUAAUCGGAAUUACUGGGCGUAAAGCGUGCGCAGGCGGUUUGUUAAGAUAGGCGUGAAAUCCCCGGGCUCAACCUGGGAACUGCGUUUAUGACUGGCAGGCUAGAGUAUGGCAGAGGGGGGUGGAAUUCCACGUGUAGCAGUGAAAUGCGUAGAGAUGUGGAGGAACACCGAUGGCGAAGGCAGCCCCCUGGGCCAAUACUGACGCUCAUGCACGAAAGCGUGGGUAGCAAACAGGAUUAGAUACCCUGGUAGUCCACGCCCUAAACGAUGUCAACUAGGUGUUGGGAGGGUAAAACCUUUUAGUACCGGAGCUAACGCGUGAAGUUGACCGCCUGGGGAGUACGGCCGCAAGGUUAAAACUCAAAGGAAUUGACGGGGACCCGCACAAGCGGUGGAUGAUGUGGAUUAAUUCGAUGCAACGCGAAAAACCUUACCUACCCUUGACAUGUCCGGAAGCCCUUAGAGAUUUGGGUGUGCUCGAAAGAGAGCCGGAACACAGGUGCUGCAUGGCUGUCGUCAGCUCGUGUCGUGAGAUGUUGGGUUAAGUCCCGCAACGAGCGCAACCCUUGUCGUUAAUUGCCAUCAUUCAGUUGGGCACUUUAACGAGACUGCCGGUGACAAACCGGAGGAAGGUGGGGAUGACGUCAAGUCCUCAUGGCCCUUAUGGGUAGGGCUUCACACGUCAUACAAUGGUCGGUACAAAGGGUCGCCAACCCGCGAGGGGGAGCUAAUCCCAGAAAGCCGAUCGUAGUCCGGAUCGUAGGCUGCAACUCGCCUGCGUGAAGU
RNAcentral lists this ribosomal RNA (1324 nucleotides) under metagenome. Its description in RNAcentral is "bacterial SSU rRNA". It matches the Rfam family "Bacterial small subunit ribosomal RNA", at positions 8 to 1326 of the family's 1533-position model. The record is from RNAcentral.